UAAAUAAACUCUGAUAUAAGGGAGGAGAUCUGCCUCGGGUGAAUCCAUGAGCAGCUAUCGAUAGGGAUUCAGCUUGUUAUUUCUCUUUAUAGUCGCUGUUUAUCUUGUGCCAGAAAAUCAGAUGUCAUUUUUUUCUUCCUUGAGUGUUUCUUCGGGGUUUACAGUGUUAGAAUGGCAUGGUCACUGGGAUGUGUCAUUCCUUUGCUCCAUUGUCACAGCUUGUAGCUAAUGUCUGUUGUUGCAUCUUUAUCAUGUUACUGGUGUUCAUCCUGUUGGUUAUACAUGUGGCUUCAGAUACUAAGAUUAUCUUAGCAAUCUACAUAUUCUGCAAUUCAGCAUUUCUUUGCGUGUGAAUACUGAAUAUAAUUUGUUGUGAAAUCUGCUUCUGAGACGAAUGCAAUUGGGACAUGGCUGUUGUGUAAACUCAAUAUUUCUUCGCCAGGAAAAAACGUGUGGUUCCUUUAAGAAGGAAAAAAAACUCAUGGUAUCCUAUAUAUCAUAGCAGUGCAGUUAAUUGAGCACAUAAUCUCUAUGCAGUUUAUAUUUUUGAGGCGUUUUAGGCAUAUUUAUACCACUCUUGCCCAAACUUUGGCUGGCUUGUGCUCUUUAGUGCUUGGGCUGUAGGUCACUGUGGUUAUUAGCUGACCAGGACUCUCAUUAUUGACUCUGUCAGGUUUUGGUGUUUCUACUUGAGUUUGUUCCCUCAUUGCAAGGUUGACUCCACCAUGCCUUGUCUUAACAUAUUUGUGUUUUUGAGGGUGAAAGCUGACGGAGCUGAGAUUGAGAUUGAGAUACCAAAGGUCAAUCGGCAAGAUGCAUGCUUCAAGUAGCUAUUAUCACUGGAACUUGGUAGUAUCUGGGAACACUCCAGGUAAGGAUUUUGUAUUCAGUGAUCUCUCUAACUCUUGAUGAAUGAGCACAAUGGUAGAGAUUGAAGGAAGAGAUCCAACAACUGACAGGGUCAGUUUCUUCCUGCAAUGUGUUCUCAUGCAAGUUCCAAGUCAGAUAUUUUUUCCUGGAACAAUGCUCUGAUAACUAAAUCGGUGCAGGGAACUCAAAGCCAUCUCCUUUGGUGUUUGCAUUCACCUGAAUUCUCAAAUUUAUCCCGGAUCUCUCGCAUUUUAAGGUGUGUAUUAUGGAGGCGCACUCGCGUGGAUGUGUCCGUGGCCGUGUGACACACGUACGUGAUACAUGCCAAAAUGUCGCCGAGGUGUCGGUGGACCUUGAUGAUGAAGAUGGUUCUGCCAAAGAGGUCAGUAUCCAGAUAUGUGACUCUGAGUGAUCAGCUGGCUGGUUGUCCCAUCGAAAAUGAGGUACACGUUUGCUUUGCGCUAUCAGCACGUCUCGUUUUCAGGCCUUUGUCCAGAAUAUUCCAGUACAAUGCAUUUGUUUUUGCUUCAGUCUUUUGCUUUUUCCUGGAUUCCAGUUUCAUUGGUAUGCUGCGCGCAGACUGUGAGGUUUUGGUGUAGUUAUUAUGAUUGUGCGUGUCGUCCAUUCAUUCACGGUUGAUUUACCUCACGGUUGAUUUACCACACAUUGUCUCACACUUUUGUUUGUUUCAUUUAUAUGACAAGUGAGGCGAGAGGUUGAUGAGGCUGUGAUUGAGAAACCAGAGGUCAAUCCGUGAUAAGAUCUAUGCUUGAAGUAGUUAUUAUAACUGGAAACAUGGCAUCUGGGAACAGACACUCACUCAGGUAAGCAGACGGUAGUAUUCAGUAACCUCCCUUCUGAAUUCACUUGGAAAAAACAAACCUCACUUCAGGUUGAAAGGUUGCGGAUUGCUCCUGAGAAACGAUCCUGGGUUGGCGCAUGGGAACUGAAAACCACGGGAUUCAAAUCUUGGUGCUCGCUUUUACCUGAAUCUACCUCAGAUCCUUUGCUAGUAGGGGACAUACUCGUGUGGCGUGCCUCAGGCGUUCUAGUACAUGCCAAGAUUCCACCAAGUUACCGGUGAAUGAUUGGUACGGACAUCUGCCUUGAUGACGAUUCGACCAAGAGGCUGGCUGGUAAUGCUAAGCAAUCGAUGGCCAGAUAGCCGGUUGUUCCAUCAAAAAACGCGAACAUGCUUGCUUGGCGACAUUGAGGUGUCAUUUCCACCGUUCGUCGUACGCCCUUGUCCACGAUAUUCCAAACCAUCCCUAUUUUGUUUCCUUUGUUCUUCUUGUGAAAUGGAUGUUUGAGCUGUCAAAUGUGAUGAGGGAGAAGAUCCGCCUUGGGUGAAUCCAUGAGCAGCUAUCGAUAGGAUUCAGCUUGUUGUUUCUCUUUAUAGUUGCUAUUUAUCUUAUGCCAGAAAAUCAGAUGUCAUUUAUUUCUUCCUUGAGCAUUUCUUUGGGGUUUACAGUGUUACAAUGGCAUGGUCACUGGGACGUGUCAUUCCUUUGCUCCAUUGUCACAGCUUUGUAGCCAAUGUCUGUUGUUGCAUCUUUAUCAUGUUACUGGUGUUCAUCCUGUUGGUUAUACAUGUGGCUUCAGUUACUAAGAUUAUUUUAGCAAUCUACUCCCUCUGUAAACUUUUAUAAGACGUUUUAGGUCACUUAGUGCCCAUAGAGGGAGUACAUAUUAGCCAAUUCAGCAUUUCUUUGCUUGUGUAAUUUGUUGUGAAAUCUGCUUCUGAGAUGAAUGCAAUUGGGACAUGGCUGUUGUGUAAACUUGGACAAACGGACAAUUUAACCCCAUUUCCUUGUAUUCCUGGGUAGUCAGCUCAAUCAACUCACUAUUUCGGUGGCGGGGAGGGGAGAGCGCCUACCGCCUAUCCAACGCCCGGGUUUGCAGUGUUUUUUUCUUUUUUCGAAACGAAGGCAAAAGCUAAGAAGGGUAACAGAAGUUUAUGACGAGGUCAUUACUCCUCAACAAAUGAGACUAAAGCCUACUCUCGCGGCAUAAUAGAGCCCAGGUGCCUAGCACCGGCGGUCACCCAUAACUUAGCCUCGUUCCGAACAUGCGCGAAGACGAUGGAAGGCAGUGUAGACUUCUUGCGAAAAACCCGUGCAUUCCUCUCGUUCCACAGUGCCCACGCCACAAGCAUGAGUGUGGUGGCAAUAGCUUUCUUCCUGUGACCAUGAGUAAGCACCACGGCAUACCACCAAUCUUGCACCGAAGGCAGGCCACCCCAUUGGUCAAGACGCAACUCCUACGCACCCAGCCACGUCUUUACGGCCUCCCACACACGGAUGGAGUACCUACACUUGAAGAGAAGGUGCGCCCUAGACUCCGGCUCCCUUUGACACAGCUGGCAUAGGCCACAGUUUGGCCAACCCCUCUUCUGCAAUCGAUCCGCGGUCCAAAUCCUAUUCUUGAUGACAAGCCAAGCAAAAAACUUGCACUUGGGCGGCGCCCAGUUAUCCCAGACCGCGGGCUUCAUGCGUGUGGUGAUGGCUCCCUCAAAUUGCGUGAGAUAGGCAGAAGCAGCGGAGUAAGAGCCAUUUGGCGUGCGAUCCCAAACGAUGGUGUCUGGAGUGUCAUGUUGCAAGAGAACAAUAUCAAGCCUCGCCCAAAGUGUGCAGAAUUGGUGGAUGUGGUUGACCGUGAGCCCUUGAGACAUUCAAUUCUCGAGAGCCAAGCAUUGUCCAGGAGUGCAUCCCGCACCGAAGAAUUCUUUCUUGCCGAGAUCUGAAACACGAGAGGAGCGAUAUCCUUGGGUUUUUCGCCACUGAGCCAAGGGGAUAGCCAGAACCUUGCCAACAGACCGUUGCCCACAGUAAUUGUGGUGACGUCGUAGAAAAGCUCCAUGUCCUUGGCAUCCCAAGGCUUGCUCAAAUCGACCCAAGCUCUGUCCGGCUCCGUCCACUCGUACUUGCAGUGUGUUUGUUUCUCAUGCAAGUUGCAACUGUGAUAAUAAUCAUCAGGCUUCUUCGAAUUGUUCCGAGUCUGAUUUUGCUUAUAAGCUUUUAAAUAACUAAACGGGUGCAGGGAGCUCAAAUCCAUCUCUUUUGUUGUUUGCAUUCAUGCGAAUUCUGGAAUUUAUCUCUCAUCUCUCGCAGUUUAGGUGUGCAUUAUUCCCGUACGUGAAUGCCAAAAUGUCACCGAGGUGUCGGUGGACCUUGAUGCUGACGACGACUCUGCCAAGAGGUCGGUGUCCAGAUCUGUGAAUGAUCAGUACGCCGAUUGUCCCAUCCAAACGUGGUACGCGUUGCCAUGCAUGCUCGUUUUCAGGUCUUUGUCCAGAAUAUUCCGUACCAGGCACUUUGUUGCGAAAUUGAUGUGGUAAAUGUCAGAUCACGGACGCAUCGGAAACACAUGGGAUCAUCAUACUCCAAGACUCGUACUUCUUUGUUCCUUUGUUUUUUCUUGAAUUCCAAUUUCAUUGGUAUUGCUGUGCGCGGUCCCUUAGACAGGGUUCGUGAAAAAAUAGAAGAAAAUGGCCUGGUUAAUUAACGAAAAUCCAGAUGAAAAUUGUUAGAACACGACCAAAAGUGAGGGCACCUGCUGACCUGCAAAGUCAUCAUCAUCAUUUCUCAUUGAGCAAACAACUUCGACUUCACGGCGGACGACCCAUGAAGACCUCUCUAAACAAAUGGCACACGAGAACCAAGUCAGCCUAUGCCAAAUAGCCGGCCAAACGCGCCGAGGAUUAGGCAGCUCCGAGUUUGGUCGUAGACUCACAAAAGAAAGAAGCACGCCUUGCCCUAACAUAGCCACAUCUGCCCAUCAUCCCUCCGCAUCGGCCCACAAAGCUACAACUCCGACUUCACGCUGAAGUACACAUCGAAUGGUCGAUGUCAAAGGACUUCCUGUGACUCUGCUACUCAUGCCACCAUUAUUGUUCCCACACAAGUAGCAACUCCACCAGGAGCGAGGCAGCUACCCCGCUACCCGCACUCGCAUCAUCGGCCGGGAACCUGCCGACCGCAAUGACGUGCGCAUCCAACCUCAGGAAAGUAUGAAGGGGAUUGAUGACCUUCAAGGCGAUGCCCCCAAGGGGUUAGCGACGUGGGAAAUGACACCGUCAUCCAACUCACACCGGAGUCUUAGGCCUUGUACAAUACAAGGUGCUUCGUAAAAUAAACCAUGUUUCCUUGAGAAUUCGUGCUUACUCUAUAGGAGGGGUGCCUACUUAAUCGUCUACCCUCUACAAAUAAGCACGAGUGCUUAAAAAAAGUGAUUUAUUUCUCUAAGCACCUUGCAUUGCACCGUGAUGAAUUCCCCCUCUGACAGAGUCUGGAAAAGACCUCCGGAUUGGAUCGUCAAACAGAGAGGCGUGGCCCCAGAAAAAUUAGGGUUAAUAUUCCGAAGUAUUUUCAGUAGUAUAUAGAAGCGUAGGCGUUGAAAGGAAAUGGAUGGAAGAUCCAGGGGCCCCAUGCGGCCCCACCAUGUGUCCCUGGGCGUGUGGUGGGGGUUGUGCCCCCCGGGUUGCUUCUUGUGCCUCUAAAAGCUUCCCAACCAAAAAAAGCUUUUGGGAUUUUUUUAGAUCUUUUGGAGCCCCGUAAAAUUGUUUUUCCCGGAAGUCCAAAAAUAUGCAGAAAACAAUAAUUGACAUUGGGCAUAAUAGGUUAGUCCAGAAAAAUAAUAAAAAUUUAUGUCAAAAUUCAAAACUAUGCCAAAAUGAUAUAAAUAUAGCAUGAAACAAACAAAAAUUAAAGAUACAUUUGUGAUGUAUCACACGUGUCCCCUUGGACUUGAAGAACAUGCGGUUCUCAGCGAGAAGUUGCGGAUCGUCCUUGACGAGCUUCCCCACCUAGGUGACAUUAUAGCGCUUGGCUUUGCAGUGCUCCUUCUCCUUGGCUAGGGAGACUACCCUAAUGGGAAGCGUGAGGAAGUCCGCGAUCAGGGUGUCGGUGGGGAAGUUGAGCCUCACCCGUGUCCCGUAGUAGCGGAGCAUCACAUCGUCGUACGAGCGUGCCGCCUCCUCCCUGAUGACAAACGUGCCAAUCCAGGCAAAUUUGACAAAUUUGACCUAUAGUCGAAAUCAAAUCACAGAAUGAACUGUCCGUGAAACUAUUUCACGCGGUUGACCCUUGGUGCCUAACUCUCAAGCGCUGCACUAGUGCAACGCCCAGGAGCUAGGCGCUGCACUAGUGCAACGCCCAGGAGCCAGGCGCUACACUGUGUAGUGUGGCGCCUAGCUCUCAGGCGCUGCACGCUGACUUGGGCACAUAUGGGUGCGACGCUGGCCGUGUAGCGCCUAUCUGUGAGGCGUUGCACAGUAGGGUGUGGCGCCGGCGUGGCGGACGCUACACAAAAGGGUCAGGGGAGUGAAAUAGUUUCGCAACCAGUUCAUUCUGUGAAAUGAUUUCGUCCUGAGGUCAAAAUUAUCAAAUUUGCCGCCAAUCCACUAGCGCUUUCCCAUGUCCGGGUUGAGGAUCUCCGCCACCCACCCGCCCCACAACCACUGCCUCGUACGAUGGUACCUCAGCGGUGGCGAUGGCGGCUGCGACAUGCCCAAUGGCAGGGAGCUCGCAAGGAAGAACUAUAAAAAAGUAUAUAAAUUUUAAAAUCAAAUGAAAAAAAUUAGCACGACCAUUGCUAACAAUUGGACAGAUAUUGAGUGCCAGAAAUUUGACGAAACAUAGAUGAAUCUACCUUUCACCAAAAUGUUGGCACUUAUUUUGAACCCCUAAAAUGUUUGAAAACAUGCACAACACAAAUUCAUUGCGAGCAAUACAAGGUUGGCUCGGCUCAAUGGUCAAAAUAUCACAAUUCAUUUGUUGUCUGUAUUGAUAGUGUAUUUGCCGAAAAACUAAAGGUAAACAUGGUUCCACGCGCACCCAUGUGAAUAGUAAAUUCAAAAAAUUACUAGGAAAAUUUAGAAAAUUCUAAAAUUUUGGGGAAUAAAACUUGGUCGUCCAUUCUAUUCAUGUGUGAAGUUUCGUGAAGUAUUGACACCGGUGGUAUUCUUAGUGAAGAAAAUACAAUUUGAAGUUUACUAUUCACCAAACAUUGUUUUUUAAAUAUAAUUCCGAUUUUGUCAUUUUUGCCCAGAAUACCAAGGGUGUCAUUUAUUCAUGAAACUUCAUAUGUGAGUAUACCGGAUGACAAUGUAUGUUACAAUUUUUUUCUAGUAUUUUUUUUGAAUUUAGUAUUCAUAAAGGGUGCACAUGGAAUCGUGUUCAAAAAAUCUGCGUCCGUGUAUUCGCUAAUUGUCAAGUUUAUAUUUGUAAAAGUCAACAUAGUAGUGUAGGAAGAGAAAUGACAUCUGUUCUGAAAAAACAAUGAAUCCCCUGCUGUAGAUAAUUUGUAUGGACUAAAGUAGCAAUCAAUAAAAGCAUAGACAUUACUUUUGUGCUAUUAAUUAUUGUAUGAACAAGGUCUAAAAAUAUAUUAACUAAAGUGCCUAGUUUGAAAGAGUUGUUGAUAACCCUAUGUGGGAAUGAAUUCUAUUUUCAUCCUCGAAGUAGAGGUAAACCUUUAAAGUUAUGGUGUGCCCCUAUAGAUAUCAACACCCACAUCGAAUCACCACCAACCGAACACCGAAUUCCAUCAAGCGUAGACCUGUUUUGUUAGAAAUCACACCAUCGAUAUCUAUUCCAUCAAAGCAUAUCCUAGCAUUUGCUAGGUUCGAAAUAAUACUAAAAUUUAAUAAUAAUGUAUAAAUGAAUUCGUAGGCUUUGCGCUAGAAGUGGCCGGCGGUCAAAUUGUCAUCUCCGACACCGACGACGACAGGUGGCGCGGCGCACAUGCUAGGUUGGGUGGCAGCGGACAUGUUGCACGCGGUUCAUGUGAGGUGAAGGGAGGGGAGGGUGACGAAAGAGCAGGAGGGUGGUGAUGGCGACAAUCAGUGAGGGCACUGGGACGGUGAAAGGCGAUGGAAGGCAUUUGGCUAGCUACGUAUUUGUGGAAUUUGGCGAAGUCCCAUGUGUGGCCGAAUUGUUAAGGGUAAUGAAAAAUUUACGUAUUUGUGGAUGCCAUUUACACAAAAUUUACCCUAGGUUAUGUUUUGAACAACUUUUUUUCCUGGGGUAAAUUUAUCGUGGUGUUUGUACCUACGUUAUCAUGUCUGUGGUGCAUAUAUUACCAUGCCUUUUACACAGAAAGUUGAUGCGGUAUGUUUUCAACAUCUUUUUUCCCUUGGGCAAAGUUAAUGUGGUGUUUGUACAUAAUUUAUUAGCUCGUUGGUGCGUAUAUUAUCGUUCUAUUUACACAAUAGUCAGCAGGGUAUGUUUUCAACAACUUUUUCCCCUGGUCAAUGUUACCACGUUGUUGUACGUAAGUUACCAGUUCAACCUGCAUGUAUUAUCAUGCUAUUUACAUAGAAAGUUGUCAAUGGUAUGUUUUCAAUAACUUUUUUCCCUUGGGUCAAAGUUAUGCGGUGUUUUUAUGUAAGUUAUCAGGUUUGUAGUUCGUAUAUUACCAUUCUAUUUACACAGAAGUUAUUGGGGGUUUAUUUUCGAUAACUUUUUCCUAAGUCAAUAACUUUUCCAUUCCAGAUCUAGACAAAGCUGGCGGGGGGCUUGAACAACAGGGUGGUGGUGCUGGUCGGAUUGGGAGGAGCUAGAGCAAGAGAUCACCAUAGCUCCUUGUUUGGGCGCUCAGGAGGGAGGAGAUGAACUAGAAGAGAUGUAGGGGUAGGUCGAAGUGGUGGACUAGGGAGAGAGCUUCGGCGGGCAGAGCUCUAGUGGACGGUGCAAUAUGUGGCUUUGUGCCAGAGCAAAGAGGAAGGAGUGGCGUCGGAGCUCAAGCCAUGGUGGCCGUAGCAAUGUGCAUGUCAACUGUUAUGCUAGAUUGUGCACUGUUUUGUCUUGGAUCAUAGCAAUGUGCAUGUCAAUGGUUAUGUUGGAUUGUACACUGCUUUGUCUUGGAUCAUAGCAAUGUGCAUGUUAAUGAUUAUACUAGAUUUUGUAGUGCCUAUGUCUUUGCAUGUCCAUGACUGUGCAAUGCCUUUGUGUUAGAUCAUGCUAAUGUGCAAUGUCCAUGUUUAUGAUUCAAUUAUGUGUUGCCUAUGUCUUUGCAUUCCCAUGUUGUGCUUGAUUCCGCACUUACUUGAUUGAUUGUGCAAUGGUAUCCAUCAACUGGCUUCCAAGACAUGCUCCCGCCGAAUCGGUUGGCACUGAAGCCUGUAGUGCCGGGGAGGAGGGAGCUGGCGGCGGCGCCUCUACACACGCAUGGCCAUCGACCCAAGCUCGACUACAAGGCGAGAGAACCAGUGCCACACCGGUUUUAUGUCCAGAUGGACAUGGACGACAUGGCAAUGCUUAUCAUCUCGACGGCUUUCUAAAGGCUCCUCAAGACCUGGCCGAACACCUUGCUACCUCUUGAGCAUGCGUUGGUUUGCCCCUGAAGAGGAAAGGGUGAUGCAGCAAAGUAGCGUAAGUAUUUCCCUCAGUUUUUGAGAACCAAGGUAUCAAUCCAGUAGGAGACUACACGCAAGUCCCUCGUACCUGCACAAACAAUUAAGAACCUUGCAACCAACGCGAUAAAGGGGUUGUCAAUCCCUUCACGGCCACUUGCAAAAGUGAGAUCUGAUAAAGAUAAUAAGAUAAAUAUUUUUGGUAUUUUUGUUGUAUAGAUUAAAAAGUAAAGAUUCCAAAAUAAACGGCGGCAGAAAUAGCACAUUAGCGGGAGAUUAAUAUGAUGGAAAAUAGACCCGGGGGCCAUAGGUUUCACUAGUGGCUUCUCUCAAGAUGGCAAAUUCUACGGUGGGUGAACAAAUUACUGUCGAGCAAUUAAUAGAAAAGCGCAUAAUUAUGAGAAUAUCUAGGCAUGAUCAUGUAUAUAGGCAUCACGUCCGUGACAAGUAGACCACUACAAAAAAAAAAAGACACAUCCGUGACAUUUUGGGCCGAACGAUUUUUUUUCUAUCAUACUUAUGACACUUCUAUGAAGAUAAUUGUGACAAAACCCGGUAUCAUCAUAGAUGUGGUGGGGUCCUACUUCUAUGACAAAAAAUCAUGACAGAAAAUGGGCUUUUCGUUCUGGGCGGGCCGGAGACGCAGCUGCAUGACAUUCUUUGGGCCAUCCAUGACGGAAAAAACCGUGGUAGAAGCGAGG
Molecule: long non-coding RNA, 9924 nt
Filed under: Triticum aestivum (bread wheat)
Lineage: Eukaryota; Viridiplantae; Streptophyta; Magnoliopsida; Poales; Poaceae
Description: long non-coding RNA (TAES_LNC004197)
Source: RNAcentral